GCCUCCAUAGUUAAACGGAUAUAACAGUGGUUUCCUAAACCAUCGUUGGCGGUUCGAUUCCGUCUGGGGGUACCA
RNAcentral lists this transfer RNA (75 nucleotides) under Clostridia bacterium. RNAcentral describes it as "tRNA-Arg". It matches the Rfam family "tRNA". Rfam says of the family: Transfer RNA (tRNA) molecules are approximately 80 nucleotides in length. Their secondary structure includes four short double-helical elements and three loops (D, anti-codon, and T loops). The record is from RNAcentral. Lineage: Bacteria; Bacillati; Bacillota; Clostridia.